UGGGGAAUAUUGCACAAUGGGCGCAAGCCUGAUGCAGCCAUGCCGCGUGUAUGAAGAAGGCCUUCGGGUUGUAAAGUACUUUCAGCGGGGAGGAAGGUGUUGUGGUUAAUAACCACAGCAAUUGACGUUACCCGCAGAAGAAGCACCGGCUAACUCCGUGCCAGCAGCCGAGGUAAUACGGAGGGUGCAAACGUUAAUCGGAAUUACUGGGCGUAAAGCGCACGCAGGCGGUCUGUCAAGUCGGAUGUGAAAUCCCCGGGCUCAACCGGGGAACUGCAUCCGAAACUGGCAGGCUUGAGUCUUGUAGAGGGGGGUAGAAUUCCAGGUGUAGCGGUGAAAUGCGUAGAGAUCUGGAGGAAUACCGGUGGCGAAGGCGGCCCCCUGGACAAAGACUGACGCUCAGGUGCGAAAGCGUGGGGAGCAAACA
Molecule: ribosomal RNA, 427 nt
Filed under: uncultured bacterium
Lineage: Bacteria
Description: partial 16S ribosomal RNA
Rfam family: Bacterial small subunit ribosomal RNA
Source: RNAcentral